AGAGCUUAGCUGAUUGGUGAACAGUGAUUGAUCUCCUUUGUUCACAGUGGCUAAGUUCUGC
This is a microRNA precursor of Hucho hucho (huchen), 61 nucleotides long. Ensembl annotates it as microRNA 27b. Its record names the gene mir27b. The record is from Ensembl. Lineage: Eukaryota; Metazoa; Chordata; Actinopteri; Salmoniformes; Salmonidae.